Molecule: ribosomal RNA, 1509 nt
Filed under: Euhalothece sp. KZN 001
Lineage: Bacteria; Bacillati; Cyanobacteriota; Cyanophyceae; Chroococcales; Halothecacae
Description: bacterial LSU rRNA
Rfam family: Archaeal large subunit ribosomal RNA
Source: RNAcentral
AUGAGCAAGGGUUCCUCGGCACUGUCAAUCAGCCGAGGGUCAGCCGGUCCUAAGUGACGCCGUAACACGACCGUCACGAACGGGAAACUGGUUAACAUUCCAGUGCCAUCAUGCACCGAAAUCGACGCUGUGGUGAACAGAGAGAGGGGCAGUCGCCCCGUCCAAGUGGGGACCAUCGUGGACGCCGUCAUGGCAGGAAGCGAUCGAAGCCCACGAGUGCGCAAGUCUCUGCUACCCAGAGCCCGUGAAAAGAGAGCGUGAUGUCCGUACCCAGAUCCGACACAGGUGCUCAGGCGGCGAAAGCCACGGCCCGUCGGGACCAACCGGCGUUAGGGAAUUCGGCACGUUAGUCCCGUACCUUCGGAAGAAGGGAUGCCUGCUCGGCGACGAGCAGGUCGCAGUGACUCGGGCGCUCCGACUGUCUAAUAACAACAUAGGUGACCGCAAAUCCGCAAGGACUCGUACGGUCACUGAAUCCUGCCCAGUGCGGGUAUCUGAACACCGCGUACAAGCGGACGAAGGACCCGUCAACGGCGGGGGUAACUAUGACCCUCUUAAGGUAGCGUAGUACCUUGCCGCUUCAGUAGCGGCUUGCAUGAAUGGAUCAACGAGAGCGCCACUGUCCCAACGCUGGGCCCGGUGAACUGUACAUUCCAGUGCGGAGUCUGGAGUCCCCCAGGGGGAAGCGAAGACCCUAUAGAGCUUUACUGCAGGCUGUCGCUGGGACAUGGCCGCUGAUGUGCAGGAUAGGUAGGAGACGCUACACAGGUGUCUGCGCCAGCAGAUCGCCGAGUCGCCCGUGAAAUACUACCCGUCAGUGACUGUGACCCUCACUCCGGCAGGAGGACACCGGUAGCCGGGCAGUUUGACUGGGGCGGUACGCGCUCGAAAAGAUAUCGAGCGCGCCCAAAGGUCUCCUCAAGCGAGUCGGAAACUCGCUGGAGAGUGCAAGAGCACACGGAGGCCUGACAGUGACGUGCACAACAAGCGUCGCUGACGCGAAAGCGUGGUCUAGCGAACCAACGAGGCCCAUUCUUGGGGCCCGUUGAUGACAGAAAAGCUACCUUAGGGAUAACAGAGUCGUCACCGGCAAGAGCACAUAUCGACCCGGUGGCUUGCUACCUCGAUGUCGGUUCCCUCCAUCCUGCCCGUGCAGACGCGGGCAAGGGUGAGGUUGUUCGCCUAUUAAAGGAGGUCGUGAGCUGGGUUUAGACCGUCGUGAGACAGGUCGGCUGCUAUCUACUGGGGGUGUUGAGACCUGACAGGAACGUCCGCAUAGUACGAGAGGAACUGCGGGUGGGUGCCACUGGUGUAUCGGUUGUCCGACAGGGCAGUCGCCGAGCAGCUACGCACCACGGGGUAAGAGCUGAACGCAUCUAAGCUCGAAACCCACCUGAAAACGAGGUCUCCGUCGGACGCUCGUCUAAGACGAGACAGAUAGACUCGGGGUGUACGCACCAAGGCAACGAGGUGUUGAGCCCGCGAGCACUACCGAUCCGAGCCACAGUC